RNAcentral lists this ribosomal RNA (491 nucleotides) under Pasteurellaceae bacterium VRP20031220003. Its description in RNAcentral is "bacterial SSU rRNA". It matches the Rfam family "Bacterial small subunit ribosomal RNA", at positions 30 to 508 of the family's 1533-position model. Lineage: Bacteria; Pseudomonadati; Pseudomonadota; Gammaproteobacteria; Pasteurellales; Pasteurellaceae. The record is from RNAcentral.
AUUGAACGCUGGCGGCAGGCUUAACACAUGCAAGUCGGACGGUAGCAGGAGAAAGCUUGCUUUCUUGCUGACGAGUGGCGGACGGGUGAGUAAUGCUUGGGGAUCUGGCCUGUGGAGGGGGAUAACKACGGGAAACUGUCGCUAAUACCGCGUAAUAUCGAAAGAUUAAAGGGUGGGACUUUAUGGCCACYUGCCACGGGAUGAACCCAAGUGGGAUUAGGUAGUUGGUUGGGUAAAGGCUGACCAAGCCGAUGAUCUCUAGCUGGUCUGAGAGGAUGACCAGCCACACCGGGACUGAGACACGGCCCGGACUCCUACGGGAGGCAGCAGUGGGGAAUAUUGCGCAAUGGGGGCAACCCUGACGCAGCCAUGCCGCGUGAAUGAAGAAGGCCUUAGGGUUGUAAAGUUCUUUCGGUGAUGAGGAAGGUUGGUGUGUUAAUAGCACAUCAAAUUGACGUUAAUUACAGAAGAAGCACCGGCUAACUCCGUGC